This 70-nucleotide transfer RNA is filed under the name Cordylochernes scorpioides. Its description in RNAcentral is "tRNA-Phe". The stretch from base 3 to 64 matches the Rfam family "tRNA", at positions 6 to 65 of the family's 71-position model. Rfam says of the family: Transfer RNA (tRNA) molecules are approximately 80 nucleotides in length. Their secondary structure includes four short double-helical elements and three loops (D, anti-codon, and T loops). Further hydrogen bonds mediate the characteristic L-shaped molecular structure. tRNAs have two regions of fundamental functional importance: the anti-codon, which is responsible for specific mRNA codon recognition, and the 3' end, to which the tRNAs corresponding amino acid is attached (by aminoacyl-tRNA synthetases). tRNAs cope with the degeneracy of the genetic code in two manners: having more than one tRNA (with a specific anti-codon) for a particular amino acid; and 'wobble' base-pairing, i.e. permitting non-standard base-pairing at the 3rd anti-codon position. Lineage: Eukaryota; Metazoa; Arthropoda; Arachnida; Pseudoscorpiones; Chernetidae. The record is from RNAcentral.
GAAAUAGCUCAGUUAGGAGAGCGUUAGACUGAAUAUCUAAAGGUACCUGGUUCGAUUCCGGUUUAAUUUU